Molecule: ribosomal RNA, 1417 nt
Filed under: metagenome
Description: bacterial LSU rRNA
Rfam family: Bacterial large subunit ribosomal RNA
Source: RNAcentral
CUUAGGUAAAUCCGGGAUGCUAAGGCUGAGAACUGAUGACGAGUGUUCCUCGGAACAUGAAGUGCUUGAUGCCAUGCUUCCAAGAAAAGCCUCUAAGCUUCAGGUAAAAAGAGACCGUACUCCAAACCGACACAGGUGGUCAGGUAGAGAAUACCAAGGCGCUUGAGAGAACUCGGGUGAAGGAACUAGGCAAAAUGGCACCGUAACUUCGGGAGAAGGUGCACCGCUUUUGGUGAUGGGAUUUACUCCCUAAGCUGAGGGCGGUCGAAGAUACCAGGCCCCUGCAACUGUUUAUUAAAAACACAGCACUCUGCAAACACGUAAGUGGACGUAUAGGGUGUGACGCCUGCCCGGUGCCGGAAGGUUAAUUGAUGGGGUUAGCGCAAGCGAAGCUCUUGAUCGAAGCCCCGGUAAACGGCGGCCGUAACCAUAACGGUCCUAAGGUAGCGAAAUUCCUUGUCGGGUAAGUUCCGACCUGCACGAAUGGCGUAAUGAUGGGGGCGCUGUCUCCACCCGAGACUCAGUGAAAUUGAAAUCGCGGUUAAGACGCCGUGUACCCGCGGCUAGACGGAAAGACCCCGUGGGCCUUUACUAUAGCUUUGCACUGAACUUUGAACCUAUCUGUGUAGGAUAGGUGGGAGGCUUUGAAGUCGAGACGCUAGUUUCGAUGGAGCCGUCCUUGAAAUACCACCCUGGUAUGUUUGAGGUUCUAACGUCGGCCCCUUAUCGGGGUUACGGACAGUGUAUGGUGGGUAGUUUGACUGGGGCGGUCUCCUCCCAAAGAGUAACGGAGGAGCACGAAGGUGUGCUAAUCAUGGUCGGAAAUCAUGAGGUUAGUGUAAAGGCAAAAGCACGCUUGACUGCGAGACAGACAUGUCGAGCAGGUACGAAAGUAGGUCUUAGUGAUCCGGUGGUUCUGUAUGGAAGGGCCAUCGCUCAACGGAUAAAAGGUACUCCGGGGAUAACAGGCUGAUACCGCCCAAGAGUUCACAUCGACGGCGGUGUUUGGCACCUCGAUGUCGGCUCACCACAUCCUGGGGCUGAAGCCGGUCCCAAGGGUAUGGCUGUUCGCCAUUUAAAGUGGUACGCGAGCUGGGUUUAGAACGUCGUGAGACAGUUCGGUCCCUAUCUGCCGUGGGCGUUGGAGAUUUGAGAAGAGUUGUUCCUAGUACGAGAGGACCGGAAUGAACGAACCUCUGGUGUUCGGGUUGUCAUGCCAAUGGCAUUGCCCGGUAGCUACGUUCGGACGGGAUAACCGCUGAAAGCAUCUAAGCGGGAAGCCUCCUUCAAGAUGAGAUCUCCCUGGGACUUUAAGUCCCCUAAAGAGCCGUUGAAGACUACGACGUUGAUAGGUUGGGUGUGGAAGCGCAGCGAUGCGUUGAGCUAACCAAUACUAAUUGCUCGUGCGGCUUGACCG